RNAcentral lists this ribosomal RNA (308 nucleotides) under uncultured bacterium. RNAcentral's name for it is "bacterial SSU rRNA". It matches the Rfam family "Bacterial small subunit ribosomal RNA", at positions 28 to 334 of the family's 1533-position model. The record is from RNAcentral.
GACGAACGCUGGCGGCGUGCCUAACACAUGCAAGUCGAACGGGGUCAGUUGCUUCGGUGAUUGACUUAGUGGCGAACGGGUGAGUAACGCGUGAGGAACCUGCCUUUCAGUGGGGGACAACAGUUGGAAACGACUGCUAAUACCGCAUAAUGCAGCUAGACCGCAUGGUCUUACUGCCAAAGCUUUAAGUGCUGAAAGAUGGCCUCGCGUCUGAUUAGCUAGUUGGUGGGGUAACGGCUCACCAAGGCGACGAUCAGUAGCCGGUCUGAGAGGAUGAACGGCCACAUUGGGACUGAGAUACGGCCCAG